GGAGGCGUGGCAGAGUCUGGUUGAAUGCACUGGUCUUGAAAACCAGCGAGGGUUUUGCCCUCCAGAGGUUCGAAUCCUCUCGCCUCCGCAA
RNAcentral lists this transfer RNA (91 nucleotides) under Fidelibacterota bacterium. Its description in RNAcentral is "tRNA-Ser". It matches the Rfam family "tRNA". From Rfam's summary of the family: Transfer RNA (tRNA) molecules are approximately 80 nucleotides in length. Their secondary structure includes four short double-helical elements and three loops (D, anti-codon, and T loops). Lineage: Bacteria; Pseudomonadati; Fidelibacterota. The record is from RNAcentral.